AUUGAACGCUGGCGGCAUGCCUUACACAUGCAAGUCGAGCGGCAGCGCGGGGGCAACCCUGGCGGCGAGCGGCGAACGGGUGAGUAAUGCAUCGGAACGUGUCCUCUUGUGGGGGAUAACCAGUCGAAAGACUGGCUAAUACCGCAUGAGCUCGAGAGAGGAAAGCAGGGGACCGCAAGGCCUUGCGCGAGAGGAGCGGCCGAUGCCGGAUUAGCUAGUUGGUGGGGUAACGGCCCACCAAGGCGACGAUCCGUAGCUGGUCUGAGAGGACGACCAGCCACACUGGGACUGAGACACGGCCCAGACUCCUACGGGAGGCAGCAGUGGGGAAUUUUGGAUAAUGGGGGCAACCCUGAUCCAGCCAUGCCGCGUGUGUGAAGAAGGCCUUCGGGUUGUAAAGCACUUUCGGCCGGAACGAAAUCGCGCGAGCUAACACCCCGCGUGGAUGACGGUACCGGAAGAAGAAGCACCGGCUAACUACGUGCCAGCCGCCGCCGUAA
This 500-nucleotide ribosomal RNA is filed under the name uncultured bacterium. Its description in RNAcentral is "partial 16S ribosomal RNA". It matches the Rfam family "Bacterial small subunit ribosomal RNA", at positions 29 to 523 of the family's 1533-position model. The record is from RNAcentral.